Molecule: long non-coding RNA, 829 nt
Filed under: Physcomitrium patens
Lineage: Eukaryota; Viridiplantae; Streptophyta; Bryopsida; Funariales; Funariaceae
Description: long non-coding RNA (PPAT_LNC007459)
Source: RNAcentral
AGAUCAACGGUUUAUUCAUUAGUUAAUGAGGUUUAAAUCAGUUGUAGGAAUUAUUAGGAUUUGGUUUAGGAUUUGGUUAGGAUUUGGUUUGGGAUUUAGGGUUUGGAUUAGGAUUUGAUUUAGGAUUUAGAAUUUUAUUAGGAUUUGAUUUAGGAUUUAGGAUUUAAAUUAGAAUUUGGUUUAGGAUUUAGGAUUUGGAUUAGAAUUUGGUUUAGGGUUUGGUUUAGGAUUUAGGAUUUGGAUAAGGGUUUGAUUUAGGAUUUGGUUAGGAUUUGGUUUAGGGUUUAGGAUUUGAAUUAGGAUUUGGUUUAGGAUUUAGGAUUUAGAUUAGGGUUUGAUUUAGGGUUUAGAAUUUGAUUUAGGAUUUGAUUGGGAUUUGAUUUAAGGUUUGUUUAGGGUUUGAUUUAGGAUUUAGGAUUUUAUUUGGAUUUAAGAUUCAAUUAUUUUUGGUCUAAAGUUUGAAUGAAGUUCAAUAGGAUUUUAACUAGAAUUAAAUUAAGAUUUAAUCGAGAUGUAUUUGAGUGAUAUUUGUGUUCUUUCUAAUGUUUCUUUAAGAAUUCUUAUUGUUUGUUUGAAAUUACUUUGAGAUUUUUUCAGAAUUUGAUUAAGCUUACUUAGCAUUAUUAUAGUGUAAUUAGAGCAUUGUUAGUAUUCUAUUAGAAUUAAGAUUUUGUUAUUGUAAUUUCUAUUCUUCCUUCCACAAUCAGGUGCCCAAAGCAUUUUCAAGCCUGACUUCACAUAUUACGACAACGGCAUUGAUAAGAUUGAAGAAGGCUUCACUCUUGCCUCUAUAUAUACUCUUAAUUAAGAGUUAUGUGACAAUGUCCUA